This 71-nucleotide transfer RNA is filed under the name Loxodonta africana (African savanna elephant). It matches the Rfam family "tRNA". From Rfam's summary of the family: Transfer RNA (tRNA) molecules are approximately 80 nucleotides in length. The record is from Rfam by way of RNAcentral. Lineage: Eukaryota; Metazoa; Chordata; Mammalia; Proboscidea; Elephantidae.
GCUGUGGUGGUUCAGUGGUAGAACUCCUACCUUCCACGUGGGAGACCUGUGUUAGAUUUCUGGUCAAUGCA